AAGGAGAUUAUUUUUGGGGAACAAAAGGAACCAUCAACAUUUUGUUAUAAAUACGGAACUGCUCAUAGCCUAGCCAUCUAUUGCCUGUAUAACUCGUGAAAAACAACUAGUAUAAGCUGUAAACCGUCUGCAAGAUGAACGCCAAGUUUCUGCUCGUUGUUGCCUUGGUCUGCCUGGCAGUCUCCACCACCACUGCAGCGCCCCGAGUGAAGAGGUUCACGUGCACAUUUAUGGGAGACUGGGCUUGUGAGACCCAUUGUUACGCCCUGAACAGACAAGGGGGCUGGUGUGACAGUCGUAACGUCUGCAACUGCAGACAGGAGAGAAUCCUAUGAACUUCCCGAAGACCAGGAGACUCACAUCCUUCAGAUGCAACUUAUGUGUCAGGUGGAGGGAAAAUUUGAGUGAUGAUCCUGUGUAUUUUUAUCAUUGAACUCUUUUUUGCUUUAAUAACAUUUCAAUUUAUAACAUUUUUUUUUCAAAUACACUUUAACAAAACUAUGUCAACUCUGCCAAUAAUACAGUUUGAAUAAAUGAUUUUUUUUA
Long non-coding RNA from Mya arenaria, 546 nucleotides. RefSeq lists it as uncharacterized. NCBI's taxonomy places the organism in Eukaryota, Metazoa, Mollusca, Bivalvia, Myida, Myidae. The record is from RefSeq and is a predicted model, not a curated record. The transcript is spliced from 4 exons.